UGUCGUCAGCUCGUGUUGUGAAAUGUUGGGUUAAGUCCCGCAACGAGCGCAACCCUUAUCCUUUGUUGCCAGCGGUCCGGCCGGGAACUCAAAGGAGACUGCCAGUGAUAAACUGGAGGAAGGUGGGGAUGACGUCAAGUCAUCAUGGCCCUUACGACCAGGGCUACACACGUGCUACAAUGGCGCAUACAAAGAGAAGCGACCUCGCGAGAGCAAGCGGACCUCAUAAAGUGCGUCGUAGUCCGGAUUGGAGUCUGCAACUCGACUCCAUGAAGUCGGAAUCGCUAGUAAUCGUGGAUCAGAAUGCCACGGUGAAUACGUUCCCGGGCCUUGUACACACCGCCCGUCACACCAUGGGAGUGGGUUGCAAAAGA
This 374-nucleotide ribosomal RNA is filed under the name Escherichia coli. RNAcentral's name for it is "bacterial SSU rRNA". It matches the Rfam family "Bacterial small subunit ribosomal RNA", at positions 1050 to 1424 of the family's 1533-position model. The record is from RNAcentral. Lineage: Bacteria; Pseudomonadati; Pseudomonadota; Gammaproteobacteria; Enterobacterales; Enterobacteriaceae.